Molecule: ribosomal RNA, 300 nt
Filed under: uncultured Mucilaginibacter sp.
Lineage: Bacteria; Pseudomonadati; Bacteroidota; Sphingobacteriia; Sphingobacteriales; Sphingobacteriaceae
Description: bacterial SSU rRNA
Rfam family: Bacterial small subunit ribosomal RNA
Source: RNAcentral
UGUUACGCAGGUCGCUCCGUCGGUGUAAUGCGGGGGGUGUAAGCGUUGUCCUGGUGUAUUGAGUUUAAAGGGGGAGUAGGCGGGCCGUUAAGUCAGUGGUGCAAGCCUCCAUCUCAGCUGGAGAACUGCCAUUGAUACUGACGGGAUUGAGUACAGACGAGGUAGGCGGAAUUGAUUGUGUAGCGGUGAAAUGCAUGGAUACAAUCAAGAACACCGAUUGCGUAGGCAGCUUACUAGGCUGUAACGGACGCUGAGGCACGAAAGCGUGGGGAGCGAACAGGAUUAGAUACCCUGGUAGUC